AAACUACUGUUAUGUAACAUCUGAUAAUCACUAAAGUACAAAACAUAAGGAAACUACUGCUUCACGUUCUACUGUUGUAGCCUUAGCACAGAUGUUGAGUCUUCAGUGCUUUCUUCAAAGGUGAUCAGUCUUUGAGAGGGCAGUGCUUGAAUCUUCAGCAGUACUUAGGAGACGGCAGUAGAUAGAGCAACAGAGUUUGUCUUCAGCAGUUGUUAGAUAAUCAUCAGAGUUUGGUUUAUCAGUUGUUGUAUUUGAGCAGCACUUUAAGAUUCAUCAGUUGUUGGAUAACCACUGUCAAGGGGAAAGAUUAGAGCAAACUGCUGCUUAUUAAGUGUCCACUGAUGGGAUCCGGUUUUGGCUUUACAUUAUCUGUUCCUCUGUUAGGGUUCAAUCC
RNAcentral lists this long non-coding RNA (394 nucleotides) under Helianthus annuus (common sunflower). RNAcentral's name for it is "hypothetical non coding rna". Lineage: Eukaryota; Viridiplantae; Streptophyta; Magnoliopsida; Asterales; Asteraceae. The record is from RNAcentral.